CCCUGCCUUUUGUACACACCGCCCGUCGCACCUACCGAUUGGAUGGUCCGGUGAAGACCUCGGAUUGGCCCUGAUCUUCGGUGACGGGUCAAGAAGUAGUCUAAAUCUUACCAUCUAGAGGAAGGUGA
RNAcentral lists this ribosomal RNA (128 nucleotides) under uncultured eukaryote. RNAcentral describes it as "partial small subunit ribosomal RNA". It matches the Rfam family "Eukaryotic small subunit ribosomal RNA", at positions 1651 to 1786 of the family's 1831-position model. The record is from RNAcentral.